Molecule: ribosomal RNA, 875 nt
Filed under: uncultured bacterium
Lineage: Bacteria
Description: bacterial SSU rRNA
Rfam family: Bacterial small subunit ribosomal RNA
Source: RNAcentral
AGAGUUUGAUCCUGGCUCAGAUUGAACGCUGGCGGCAGGCCUAACACAUGCAAGUCGAGCGGAUGAGAAGAGCUUGCUCUUCGAUUCAGCGGCGGACGGGUGAGUAAUGCCUAGGAAUCUGCCUGGUAGUGGGGGACAACGUUUCGAAAGGAACGCUAAUACCGCAUACGUCCUACGGGAGAAAGCAGGGGACCUUCGGGCCUUGCGCUAUCAGAUGAGCCUAGGUCGGAUUAGCUAGUUGGUGAGGUAAUGGCUCACCAAGGCGACGAUCCGUAACUGGUCUGAGAGGAUGAUCAGUCACACUGGAACUGAGACACGGUCCAGACUCCUACGGGAGGCAGCAGUGGGGAAUAUUGGACAAUGGGCGAAAGCCUGAUCCAGCCAUGCCGCGUGUGUGAAGAAGGUCUUCGGAUUGUAAAGCACUUUAAGUUGGGAGGAAGGGCAUUAACCUAAUACGUUAGUGUUUUGACGUUACCGACAGAAUAAGCACCGGCUAACUCUGUGCCAGCAGCCGCGGUAAUACAGAGGGUGCAAGCGUUAAUCGGAAUUACUGGGCGUAAAGCGCGCGUAGGUGGUUUGUUAAGUUGGAUGUGAAAGCCCCGGGCUCAACCUGGGAACUGCAUCCAAAACUGGCAAGCUAGAGUACGGUAGAGGGUGGUGGAAUUUCCUGUGUAGCGGUGAAAUGCGUAGAUAUAGGAAGGAACACCAGUGGCGAAGGCGACCACCUGGACUGAUACUGACACUGAGGUGCGAAAGCGUGGGGAGCAAACAGGAUUAGAUACCCUGGUAGUCCACCACCGUAAACGAUGUCAACUAGCCGUUGGAAUCCCUUGAGAUUUUAGUGGCGCAGCUAACCGCAUUAAGUGACCGCCUGG